Paramuricea clavata is the source of this 364-nucleotide non-coding RNA. Lineage: Eukaryota; Metazoa; Cnidaria; Anthozoa; Malacalcyonacea; Plexauridae. The record is from the annotation of a GenBank genome assembly.
UCAAAAAAGCCCUGCCCUCUGUACGAGGUUGUAUUAAUUGUGUCUCGAUUUAGAGUUGACCCCCCGUCAAAUUUAUGACAUCAUAUGAAACACAAUAAUAUACAGUAUAAUAUUACAGCUAAUUGUAGCAGAAAGUAUUUAACGAUUUUAAUUUAUUGAGUAGUACAAUAUGCCAAGGCAAUCCCUUUAUUAAUCUUGUCCACAUAGUAAUUCAAAGAAGCUCUGUACGAGGUUGUAUUAAUUGGAUUCUGUCCAAGAAAAUGUCAUAAACCUUUUGAUCCAAAUGUAACAAAGUAUGAAUUCCAGAUUGGGAAACCAUAUAAACAUUUUUAAUAAAUUCAUAUACUUUUUUAAAGAAAUGUUC